RNAcentral lists this ribosomal RNA (894 nucleotides) under uncultured archaeon. Its description in RNAcentral is "bacterial SSU rRNA". It matches the Rfam family "Archaeal small subunit ribosomal RNA", at positions 23 to 916 of the family's 1478-position model. The record is from RNAcentral.
GUUACUGCUAUCGGAGUUCGAUUAAGCCAUGCGAGUCUAAAGGUUUCUUCGGAAACCUUGGCGGACUGCUCAGUAACACGUGGAUAACCUACCCUUGGGACUGGAAUAACCCCGGGAAACUGGGGAUAAUACCGGAUAGAUCAGGGAUGCUGGAAUGCGCCUUGAUCCAAAGCUCCGGCGCCCAAGGAUGGGUCUGCGGCCUAUCAGGUUGUAGUGGGUGUAACGUACCUACUAGCCGACGACGGGUACGGGUUGUGAGAGCAAGAGCCCGGAGAUGGAUUCUGAGACACGAAUCCAGGCCCUACGGGGUGCAGCAGGCGCGAAAACUUUACAAUGUGCGAAAGCAUGAUAAGGGAACUCCGAGUGCCAGUAUCUAAUACUGGCUGUCCUUGUGCCUAAAACGCACAAGAUAGCAAGGGCCGGGUAAGACCGGUGCCAGCCGCCGCGGUAACACCGGCGGCCCGAGUGGUAGCCGCUAUUAUUGGGUCUAAAGGGUCCGUAGCCGGUUCGAUAAGUCUUCUGGGAAAUCUGGUUGCUUAACAAUCAGACUGCCAAGGGAUACUGUCGAACUUGAGACCGGGAGAGGUAAGAGGUACUUCAGGGGUAGGAGUGAAAUCUUGUAAUCCCUGGGGGACCAUCUGUGGCGAAGGCGUCUUACCAGAACGGGUCUGACGGUGAGGGACGAAAGCUGGGGGCGCAAACCGGAUUAGAUACCCGGGUAGUCCCAGCCGUAAACGAUGCUCGCUAUGUGUCAGGUACGGUGUGACCGUAUCUGGUGCCGUAGGGAAGCCGUGAAGCGAGCCACCUGGGAAGUACGGUCGCAAGACUGAAACUUAAAGGAAUUGGCGGGGGAGCACUACAACGGGUGGAGCCUGCGGUUUAAUUGGAGUCAAC